Molecule: ribosomal RNA, 432 nt
Filed under: uncultured bacterium
Lineage: Bacteria
Description: bacterial SSU rRNA
Rfam family: Bacterial small subunit ribosomal RNA
Source: RNAcentral
UGGCGGACGGGUGAGUAAUACAUCGGAACGUACCCAGGAGUGGGGGAUAACGUAGCGAAAGUUACGCUAAUACCGCAUAUUCUGUGAGCAGGAAAGCGGGGGAUCGCAAGACCUCGCGCUCUUGGAGCGGCCGAUGUCGGAUUAGCUAGUUGGUGAGGUAAAAGCUCACCAAGGCGACGAUCCGUAGCAGGUCUGAGAGGAUGAUCUGCCACACUGGGACUGAGACACGGCCCAGACUCCUACGGGAGGCAGCAGUGGGGAAUUUUGGACAAUGGGGGCAACCCUGAUCCAGCCAUGCCGCGUGAGUGAAGAAGGCCUUCGGGUUGUAAAGCUCUUUCGGCGGGGAAGAAAUGGCAACGGCUAAUAUCCGUUGUUGAUGACGGUACCCGCAUAAGAAGCACCGGCUAACUACGUGCCAGCAGCCGCGGUAAU